CAAGCGGUGGAGCAUGUGGUUUAAUUCGAUGCAACGCGAAGAACCUUACCUGGCCUUGACAUCCACGGAAUUUGGCAGAGAUGCCUUAGUGCCUUCGGGAACCGUGAGACAGGUGCUGCAUGGCUGUCGUCAGCUCGUGUUGUGAAAUGUUGGGUUAAGUCCCGCAACGAGCGCAACCCUUAUCCUUUGUUGCCAGCACGUAAUGGUGGGAACUCAAAGGAGACUGCCGGUGAUAAACCGGAGGAAGGUGGGGAUGACGUCAAGUCAUCAUGGCCCUUACGGCCAGGGCUACACACGUGCUACAAUGGCGCAUACAAAGAGAAGCGACCUCGCGAGAGCGAGCGGACCUCAUAAAGUGCGUCGUAGUCCGGAUCGGAGUCUGCAACUCGACUCCGUGAAGUCGGAAUCGCUAAUAAUCGUAGAUCAGAAUGCUACGGUGAAUACGUUCCCGGGCCUUGUACACACC
This 466-nucleotide ribosomal RNA is filed under the name uncultured bacterium. RNAcentral's name for it is "bacterial SSU rRNA". It matches the Rfam family "Bacterial small subunit ribosomal RNA", at positions 926 to 1391 of the family's 1533-position model. The record is from RNAcentral.